Molecule: unclassified non-coding RNA, 208 nt
Filed under: Melitaea cinxia (Glanville fritillary)
Lineage: Eukaryota; Metazoa; Arthropoda; Insecta; Lepidoptera; Nymphalidae
Description: misc RNA ENSMCXG00005019005.1
Source: RNAcentral
GUUUAUCGAAGUUUUCCCGCCUUUAUAUAUUGACAGUUAGAAAUUUAAAACCUUAUUUUUGUAUUUGUUUGUGUUUUGAAGUAAUGUGUAAAAGAACUCUGUGUUUCUUUAAUUGUGUUCAAGUGCGAUAUGUGUGUUUUGUUUAGUGAUCUUUUUUAAAUCACCAUCUGUCGAAAAAGUGGAGGGCGCCGCGAGAGCGAGGCGGGGG